UACGUAGGGGGCUAGCGUUGUCCGGAAUCAUUGGGCGUAAAGAGCGUGUAGGCGGCCCGGUAAGUCCGCUGUGAGAGUCGGGGGCUCAACCCUCGAAUGCCGGUGGAUACUGUCGGGCUAGAGUGCGGAAGAGGCGAGUGGAAUUCCUGGUGUAGCGGUGAAAUGCGCAGAUAUCAGGAGGAACACCGAUUGCGAAGGCAGCUCGCUGGGACGUCACUGACGCUGAGACGCGAAAGCGUGGGGAGCAAACGGG
RNAcentral lists this ribosomal RNA (253 nucleotides) under uncultured bacterium. RNAcentral describes it as "partial 16S ribosomal RNA". It matches the Rfam family "Bacterial small subunit ribosomal RNA", at positions 524 to 776 of the family's 1533-position model. The record is from RNAcentral.